This 1199-nucleotide long non-coding RNA is filed under the name Bos taurus (domestic cattle). Its description in RNAcentral is "long non-coding RNA NONBTAT015243". The record is from RNAcentral. Lineage: Eukaryota; Metazoa; Chordata; Mammalia; Artiodactyla; Bovidae.
AGUCUUGCUAUAUAUAACCCUAACAUAGUUGCUUUGGGGCAACAAACAAAACUUUAAAAUGCCCAUUUUACAAGAUAAACUAUAAAAAAUUAUUCAUGGCUGCAUAUCAAUGUGCACAUUGUUUGAAGUUUUCCUCCACAGUCCUUGAUACGUUAGAUGUAAUAUUCUGGAGGGGGAUAGAAGGGCUUCAUUUUUAUGUUCCUUUUACCUAAUAGGUAGAGAUUAAUUGAGUCAUAGUAAUUGUGAAUGUAAUUCAAUGUUUUAAGAAUGCGGCAUUGCCAUUUUGAGUAUGGAAAAAUGCAGUUGGUUAAAUAUACUUAACAGAUGAGUAAAAUCAGGUAUGUUUUAUCUGUUUGGUAAAAUAAACAGUCAGAUCACUGUUUUCCUCAAUUAAAGAUGAAAGGCUUAUGGUUAUCAUGUUACCUUUGUCAAAAUCAUCCACAAAAAUACUCUCUGUGAAAUCUUGAUUUUAGUUUACAUUACAAGUAAAAUAAUUACAGACCUGUUUUUUCAAUCAAUUCUUCUUGAAGACAGGAAAAUGCAAAAUUAAAGUAAUUUUACUCAGAUGUUUGCUUAUUCAAAUGUGUCUAAUACAGUAUACAUGGAAAUAUUUUAAGGAGAAAGCAAGGCUAAAUGGCAUAUAGCCUGCUUAUUCAAAUAAGACAGAAUAAAAGCUGCUACUCUCAUUAUGUGUUAUUUACGAACCAGAAUUUCAACACAUAACAAUUUUUGGAUGUAAACUAAAAUGUUCUAUUAUUUAAGCCAAGAAUACAGGCAGGAACUAUCAUCAUGGUGGUAGGGGGAGGGGUGGCAUCAUGGCAACAAAUUGGAAAAGAACCAUUUGAACCUAAUAGGAAUGGACAGUUAUUUUCGUUCUUUUGAAGAAAUUCUGUAGAUCAGGCUGUCAAAUUAUUUAGUAGGGAAAAGUGAGAAUGCAUGUUUUUCGAAUCUGGAAUGACCUAUCACCUGUACUGUGAAACAAAUUGGAUAGCGAGUGAGGGUAAAGGUUUAUUGACUAUAAUGGGAAAAUGUCAAAGAUUUUAGUUAAAAAAAUUUUUAAGGGAUGGAUUCUUAACCAGGAGUGGCCACCAAAUUACUGUGAAGUUUUAAAAUGCAGAUGCCUCUGGCCCCUCCUCUAAGGGCCCUACGCCACCAGCACCAGGAGCUGGGUGGUCGCGGGGAGCUAACCGACCCUCCUG